RNAcentral lists this ribosomal RNA (281 nucleotides) under uncultured bacterium. RNAcentral's name for it is "partial 16S ribosomal RNA". It matches the Rfam family "Bacterial small subunit ribosomal RNA", at positions 56 to 339 of the family's 1533-position model. The record is from RNAcentral.
UGCAAGUCGAGCGGGAUCCAUCCUUCGGGAUGGUGAGAGCGGCGGACGGGUGAGUAACGCGUACACGACCUACCUUUGACAGGGGGAUAGCCCUGGGAAACUGGGAUUAAUACCGCAUAUUAUUCUGAUUAAUAAAGGAUUGGAAUGAAAGUUCAGGCGGUCAAAGAUGGGUGUGCGUCUGAUUAGCUAGUUGGUAGGGUAACGGCCUACCAAGGCGAUGAUCAGUAGGGGGCGUGAGAGCGUGAUCCCCCACACGGGUACUGAGACACGGACCCGACUCC